UACGUAGGGUGCGAGCGUUAAUCGGAAUUACUGGGCGUAAAGCGUGCGCAGGCGGUUUUGUAAGCCAGAUGUGAAAGCCCCGGGCUUAACCUGGGAAUGGCAUUUGGGACUGCAAGGCUUGAGUGUGGCAGAGGAGACUGGAAUUCCUGGUGUAGCAGUGAAAUGCGUAGAUAUCAGGAAGAACACCCGUGGCGAAAGCGGCGCUCUGGGCCUAAACUGACGCUGAGGGGCGAAAGCGUGGGGAGCGAACGGG
Molecule: ribosomal RNA, 253 nt
Filed under: uncultured bacterium
Lineage: Bacteria
Description: partial 16S ribosomal RNA
Rfam family: Bacterial small subunit ribosomal RNA
Source: RNAcentral